This is a long non-coding RNA of Spinacia oleracea (spinach), 1769 nucleotides long. RefSeq lists it as uncharacterized. The transcript is spliced from 2 exons. NCBI's taxonomy places the organism in Eukaryota, Viridiplantae, Streptophyta, Magnoliopsida, Caryophyllales, Amaranthaceae. The record is from RefSeq and is a predicted model, not a curated record.
UGUUGAGACUUUUUUUUCUCCUAGAUAACUUUCUUCUCUACCUUGUCAUCUUCAUCCUUAGUUUCCACCUCAUCCUCCUCAUAAACAGUGCUCAAUUACACCCCAAUGCUUAAUUACUUCCCGAUGUCAUCACUACUUCCACUGCUUAAUUACAUCCCACUUCCAUCCACUGCUUCCAAAUUCCAAUACAGUGGUAUAGUUAUAGAAUUUGUUUGUUUUGGCUUUGAGGGUGAGGUUAAAUAGUACGAGUUCAAGAUUGUUUUGGUACUCACUUCCUCGAAUGUAAUGCCCGGUUUAACCGGGCAGGCCAAUUUCAUAGCAGUAGCUCUGUAAUCUCAGUAGAAGCAGAUUUGAAAACAAGGGCUGAAAGACAGAGAAACGAAAUUCUUACAGGAUACAAGCAGACACAACUCUAGCAAUUUUCAUUUUGUAAUUCAUUUUAUUUUUUUAGUUUUCUGGUGGAAUGACUCUUCUAUGGCUUGUUCAUGGUUGAUGAAUCUUACCCAUAUUUGAGCACUGUUUAUGAGGAGGAAGAAGUGGAAGCUGAUAUGAAGAUGACAAGGUGAGCGAUUUGGAGUCCGGAGUUCAAGCUCAAAGUAACGAAUGCAAGCUAAUUUGCCAUAAAACCUUUGCAAAGCAUAAGCAGCUAUCCUACACCACACCCUUCUCUAACCUACACCACACUAACUGCAGCCCACCAACGCCACCACCCACGCUGCUCCGCCAACAAACACCACCAAAAUCCCUCCUCUCACCUUCAUCUAUUCACCAACAACAGUACAACACACAACAACAAAAACACAACCAAAAACUCAAUCAAAAUCGAACACAGAAAACAGAGCAAAAACAGAGUAAUUGGUUCGUUCGAACCCGUAAAUUCGUUCGACCGAACUGAAAAUUUAGAGUUCCUGAUUGUAUGAGGUUCGGUCGAACCUCAAUGGAGUUCGCCCAAACCGACAAAAGUUCGCCCGAACAUCGCAAGUGUUCGCCCGAACCUAUUUAGCGCUCAAAUGGGUACGGAAUUAAUGAUUGCACGUGACGGUGGUGGUGCUAGUUUCUUGGAUUACCGCCGUACAACCCGAAUUGGAAGGCUACGAUUGACGAUUGACGAUUGAGUUGUUAUUUGGGUUGCUCGAUUGAAGGCUGUGAUUUGAGAUGAUGAUGAUUGGUAAUGAAGAUCGAAGGUGAUGAUUGAAUGAUGAUGGAUGAAGAUGACUAAAGAUUGACGGUCGAUGAUGAUGAUUGACGGUGGCUGAUGAGGUGAGGGUGCAGGUGACGAGAUGAGGGGGCGGAGCGAAAGGGAUGAAGUAACGAAAAGGGGGGGUCUGAUGUUUGGAUCGAAAAGGAAGGGGGAUGGAGUAUCUGAUUGUUUUGGUGGGGAUUCCUCCUUUUUCUUUUUCUUUUUCUUUUUCUUUUUAUUUUUUUCUUUUUCCUUUUUCAUUUCUUUUAAUUCUUUUAAUUCUCUUACUACUUACUUCUUCCUUUUUCCUUUUUUUUAAGAUUUUGUUUUUAAUUUUUAUUUCAUUUUUUUUCUCUUUUAUUUUGAUUUUAGGCCUUGAGUAUAAAUCCUCAUUUUGGGUCAUGAACUUCAUUAGAAUGUAAAAUAAUUUUGAGUUUAGUUCUUCUUUUCUCUUAGGGUUUAGGGUUUUAGUUUAGUUUAGCUUUUUGAGAGAGAAAGUGAGAAAUUAAAGAGGGGUUUUGGGAAUUUAAUGUUCAAGGUGACAAAUUGGCUUGUGGAUUUCCAUCAUCAAUCAAUGAGCAAUUUCUUA